ACUAUUUUGACAGAAAAAUGUGAUGAUUUUAGAAGUCGUUAAUGUAUAAUUUAAGUUAUAUAAAUAGUA
Molecule: transfer RNA, 69 nt
Filed under: Euthalia irrubescens
Lineage: Eukaryota; Metazoa; Arthropoda; Insecta; Lepidoptera; Nymphalidae
Description: tRNA-Leu
Source: RNAcentral